GUGGCAGUGGUAUUCCUUGU
This 20-nucleotide small nuclear RNA is filed under the name Arabidopsis thaliana (thale cress). RNAcentral's name for it is "snRNA_00185". The record is from RNAcentral. Lineage: Eukaryota; Viridiplantae; Streptophyta; Magnoliopsida; Brassicales; Brassicaceae.